UCAGGACAACGCUGGCGGCUGGCCUAACACAUGCAAGUCGAGCGGAGCCAUCCAACAAUCCCUUCGGGGUGCGUUUGGGGAAGCUUAGCGGCGGACGGGUGAGUAACGCGUGAGUAACCUGCCCAUUAGUGGGGAAUAACACAGAGAAAUUUGUGCUAAUACCGCAUACUGAAUAUUUAAGGCAUCUUGAAUAUUUGAAAGAUUUAUCGCUAAUGGAUGGACUCGCGUCUGAUUAGAUAGUUGGUGAGGUAACGGCUCACCAAGUCGACGAUCAGUAGCCGAACUGAGAGGUUGAUCGGCCACAUUGGGACUGAGACACGGCCCAGACUCCUACGGGAGGCAGCAGUGGGGGAUAUUGCGCAAUGGGGGAAACCCUGACGCAGCAACGCCGCGUGCAGGAUGAAGGUCUUCGGAUUGUAAACUUUUGUCUUAUGGGACGAAAAAGGACGGUACCAUAGGAGGAAGCCACGGCUAACUACGUG
Molecule: ribosomal RNA, 482 nt
Filed under: uncultured bacterium
Lineage: Bacteria
Description: bacterial SSU rRNA
Rfam family: Bacterial small subunit ribosomal RNA
Source: RNAcentral